AUGCAAGUCGAACGAGACCUUCGGGUCUAGUGGCGCACGGGUGCGUAACGCGUGGGGAUCUGCCCUUUGCUUCGGAAUAACAGUUAGAAAUGACUGCUAAUACCGGAUGAUGUCGUAAGACCAAAGAUUUAUCGGCAAAGGAUGAACCCGCGUAGGAUUAGCUAGUUGGUGGGGUAAAGGCCUACCAAGGCGACGAUCCUUAGCUGGUCUGAGAGGAUGAUCAGCCACACUGGGACUGAGACACGGCCCAGACUCCUACGGGAGGCAGCAGUGGGGAAUAUUGGACAAUGGGCGAAAGCCUGAUCCAGCAAUGCCGCGUGAGUGAUGAAGGCCUUAGGGUUGUAAAGCUCUUUUACCCGGGAUGAUAAUGACAGUACCGGGAGAA
This 385-nucleotide ribosomal RNA is filed under the name activated sludge bacterium KC2. RNAcentral describes it as "bacterial SSU rRNA". It matches the Rfam family "Bacterial small subunit ribosomal RNA", at positions 55 to 486 of the family's 1533-position model. The record is from RNAcentral.